Molecule: long non-coding RNA, 982 nt
Organism: Neodiprion virginianus
Lineage: Eukaryota; Metazoa; Arthropoda; Insecta; Hymenoptera; Diprionidae
Exons: 3
Source: RefSeq, a predicted model, not a curated record
CAUAUCGACGCCUAUCCAUAGUCGAUCACCGUUCAGUAAGUCGAGUAUACACUUUGCGAAUUACAAGAUGAAGUUGGCGUUUCUGUUUGUACUUUUAUUGAGCGUGCUUCAAUACGCUCAUGCAGCAAUUUGUGCAAAAGAUUUGAGAAGCGGUGGCCCUCAAAACUUUAAUAGUGUUGCUGCCAUGAAUGCGGAAAACAGAAAAGGCGGACGAUACCAAUUCCAACACAAUGGGUAUUGUUAAGUAACAAGCGCGUCAAGAGAAUUUUGUCCGCAAGGUCAAAACGAUACCAAAAGUUUAUCGAUGUAACUGCAUAUUUGUAUCAAUAAACGGUAGUAAAAAUUGACCAACCUUUUUUUAUUUUACCCUCAUCGUUGCAUAUACCUAUAUUUAGACAGCUGUGAAGUAAGUUUACCAGUUACCGAUACGUUCAGACGCAAUUAUAUUAACCCUUUUAUAGGUAAUCAAAAAUUAUAAAUUGACGGCAGAAGCUGCGAAUCUCGAUGACUGUAAAACCAACUGCUUUAGAGGGUUGACACUAAAAUUUCAUUUUUUGGUCAUUUUAUAAUCAAGGGUUAAACGGAAACAAACAAUACAGGUCAAUAAUUGAAACACUUGCCUGAACGACGGGGAAUAUGAGAAUUCAGGGAACGAGCGACAGGAAGAAAACAUUAACGUCUUAUUGUUAAAGAAACUGACGUUCCAACCUAAAGUAUCGCGCAUAUUUCAUGUCAGCCCUGUUCUCGAUUUCUGAACAAUUCAGUGCUCCGGAAAUGAACACUUGGGGGAGCACAUAUGACUGAAGGGACAAUACUCGUUGCCGCAACACGCUUGUUGUAACCACAUAGAUCUGGUUUCUUGUUUUAACGUUGCGGACCAAAUUGUCAGAUAGAUGUUCAUAAAAUUUGCUACGAAGUUUGUAUGCAAAGAAUUGACGAGCUUAUCCCGUGAACACGUGAAAUGGAAAAACUGUUGCAUGUU